GGGGCUGAUUGGUUUUGACAGCGGGUAGAAGAGGUAAGUAAGCAUGUCGGGUUUUGGUUGUUGACCCGUAAUAAAUAAUAAUCAAAAUUUUAAUUGGCGAAAAUAAUUACGCUCUUGCUGCGUAACCGAAUUACAGUAGGUUAAUGCUUAAUCCCGAUACAAUGUGUCGGGACAGGACAUCGCCCGGAUGCUAAUGCUUUGAAGCGGUCCGAUUCGGCGGUGCAAGUAAAUCGAAGCUAGCGGAAUUGGUGCUCCGACGAUUCUGCGAAAAUAAAGGAGCUAAGGUAGGAUUUGGUGGCUUUGAUCCGGCUCCUAUUCGAAAAUCAAGUCAAAGAUAAGCAUGUAGAAAGCUUAUUGCUUCCUCGUUUGGACGCGGGUUCGACUCCCGCCAGCUCCACU
RNAcentral lists this transfer-messenger RNA (399 nucleotides) under uncultured Draconibacterium sp. It matches the Rfam family "transfer-messenger RNA". Rfam says of the family: Bacterial tmRNA, also known as 10Sa RNA or SsrA, is named for its dual tRNA and mRNA-like properties. The record is from RNAcentral. Lineage: Bacteria; Pseudomonadati; Bacteroidota; Bacteroidia; Marinilabiliales; Prolixibacteraceae.